CCUGACUGUCCCAGCCGCUGGAGAGAGCCCAGUGCUGGUAGCCUUCUACCGGGAUAAGCGCGUCGUGACGCGGCUCCGGGUGCCCGCUGAUCCCAGGCACCACAGACACGUCCAGGUAGCCGGGCAUCGCCUGUCUUCCGACUUUUCUAUCGAGGCACCCCUUUCCAGAGAGCAUCUCCGUGGGGUUGAGCCAAGUUCCCUUUCAGCACAGGGCCUCCCUGAGGGGAAGAGGUAAUAAAAAGAAAGGACAAAAGUGGGGGAGAGGGGCUGCAGCAUCUCCCUUUCCUGCCUCUGCCGAAAAUUUUAAAUGCUGGGCGCUCCUGUCCAGACAGCGCACAGGCCGUGGCCAGGCCAUAACCUCGGGCUAAGCCAAACCCACUGGAUCCCUCCAACUCCAGAGCAAAUGACCAGGGGUGCUUUGCGGCCAAAAUUUAGCUAGGAGUGGAAAGAAGAGGAAAAGUUGCCUUCCUCGAGAAGACCAGCCGAAGAAGACGUAGGCCCCCCAGAGACCUGAGAGAGUGGGAAGGCUGGAGGGGAAAAUUCAGGAUUCAGGGCGUUGAAAGCGCUGGGGAAGCCUCCGCAUCCUCUGAAAGAUUCCCCACUCUUUCGCUGGGUUCCCCAAGAUCUUCCGCGCCUGAAACUGUGGGCUCCAAGACUGGGGCGCCCCCGGAGCAGGGAGGAAGGUGGCGAGGAGAGAGCCUGAGGGCGGGCAGCUCAAAGUAGAGCCUUGUUGGUUAAUUAACUUUAAGCCUGAGGUCGCUUCUCCCUCCUCCCCCGAAAAAAAAAAAAGAAAAAAGGUGGAUCUCACUGAGACACAAAUAAAACCAAAUUAAACACUCCAAGAGAAUAUGCACUACUAGAAACGUAGUAAUUACAUCUCCAAGGCGAUGAGGCGAUCCUGCCCUAGAAAGCCAGGCGCUGAAACCCUUGGCUUCUUCGGCUUCAGCUUCGGUGCUAACCCCACACCUCUCAGCCACACCUCGCCCAGCCGGGGCUUCACGGAUGGGCCGAUGGAGUUGGACUGUGGAUCCAGUUGAGAGGAAAUCAAGAGGAAUGAAUAGAAGCGUGACCUUUCGGUCUCUAGCUGUGAUGUUGGUGUGUGGGACGGAACAUUUCAUCACACCAAAGGAAAAUGGAAAAUGGCCCUCUAGCCCCGUCGGAAAACCCGGGCUGCGCUCUCCGCUCUUUUUUUCAAAGGGACAUUUGUGAUGGCGAGCCACGGGAGCAGUUCUGCCCUCAGCUUCCUGUAUGGACUGAAUUCCCGGCUAAGUUCAACUCUGAAAUUCUUGUUUUCAAAGACUAAUAUAUAAAGGAGAUAUUCAGUAUGCCUUCUCACUGGAAGAGUGUGUGUGUGUGUGUGUGUGUGUGUGUGUGUUUGCACGGGUUACCUGCGCCCACGCCUGGCCUUGGUUUUGGGGUCAUCGGCAGGCUCCAUGCACUGUUCCAGCACAUGCCCUUGUGGAUACGGCCCAGAUGUAUUCAUGAAGAUACCCAGCCCUCACUGAAAUCCUCUCUAUGCAAAUAAAGAUCUCUGCUGGUCUGUUUAUU
Long non-coding RNA from Hippopotamus amphibius kiboko, 1548 nucleotides. RefSeq lists it as uncharacterized. The transcript has 3 exons. The record is from RefSeq and is a predicted model, not a curated record. NCBI's taxonomy places the organism in Eukaryota, Metazoa, Chordata, Mammalia, Artiodactyla, Hippopotamidae.